CAAUAGCGUAUAUUAAAGUUGUUGCAGUUAAAAGCUCGUAGUUGGAUUUCUGGUGGGAGCACGGGUCGGCCUUCACGGGUUGUACUGUUGUUGCGUCCUGCCGUUUCGGAGGGAAUGGUCAUGUUAUUAGGUUAGCGUGAUCGGAAACUCUGUCGUUUACUGUGAAAAAUUAGAGUGUUCAAAGCAGGCCUUCGCUGUGAAUACAUUAGCAUGGAAUAAUAAGAUAGGACUGUAGUGCUAUUUUGUUGGUUUGCGUACUAUGGUAAUGAUUAAUAGGGAUAGUUGGGGUGAUUUCAUAUUCAAUUGUCAGAGGUGAAAUUCUUGGAUUUAAUGGAAGAUUGAACUACUGCGAAAGCAUUUACCAAGGAU
Molecule: ribosomal RNA, 369 nt
Filed under: uncultured eukaryote
Lineage: Eukaryota
Description: SSU rRNA
Rfam family: Eukaryotic small subunit ribosomal RNA
Source: RNAcentral